GAAAAGAGCCCUAUAUAGCUACAAGAGAUAUGUAUGAGGUGACAAGCUCUUACACAUGUAUAUAUGUAUGAGGUGGUCAGGAGUGAAUCCCUUUUCUGAUCUCUUUCUUUCAUCCAUUGUUCUCUGUCUCGCUUGAUCCAGUCAUGUUCCAGCACUCCUCACAAAAGUAUCACUUCCAGACUCCUAGUAUGGGCCGAAAGGAGGAGUUUUAUUUUUUCUGAUUAUACAUGCAACAGGGAAUAGUUAAAAAACAAUAACAAAUUAAAUGAUCAUGUGGUGAACCGGCUUCUUCUCCACUGCAUUUGCUGAUGACAUAGGAAGUCACUGCAAUAUGGUAUUAUGAAAUUAUUUUUCAUGAAAAAAUGAUGAUACACUUUCAUCUAACCAACUUGAAUACUCACUUUCCUCAAGAAAACAAUCUGAAUAGUCUUGUGCAUGGCAUGAUCCAAAUUCAGACGACACACUUCCUUAUAUGCUAUCUAUUAAUGAACGAACGGGUACUUACAUGUAUAUGAGGCCAGAACCAGGCGUCGCGGACAGGGUAUCUGUCUUCC
RNAcentral lists this long non-coding RNA (554 nucleotides) under Triticum aestivum (bread wheat). Its description in RNAcentral is "long non-coding RNA (TAES_LNC000010)". Lineage: Eukaryota; Viridiplantae; Streptophyta; Magnoliopsida; Poales; Poaceae. The record is from RNAcentral.